GAUCCUGGCUCAGAUUGAACGCUGGCGGCAGGCUUAACACAUGCAAGUCGAGCGGAGCGAGGGUGCUUGCACCUUAGCUUAGCGGCGGACGGGUGAGUAAUGCUUAGGAAUCUGCCUAUUAGUGGGGGACAACAUUCCGAAAGGGAUGCUAAUACCGCAUACGCCCUACGGGGGAAAGCAGGGGAUCUUCGGACCUUGCGCUAAUAGAUGAGCCUAAGUCGGAUUAGCUAGUUGGUGGGGUAAAGG
RNAcentral lists this ribosomal RNA (246 nucleotides) under uncultured bacterium. RNAcentral describes it as "partial 16S ribosomal RNA". It matches the Rfam family "Bacterial small subunit ribosomal RNA", at positions 15 to 263 of the family's 1533-position model. The record is from RNAcentral.